GUCACAGCUACACUAGAGGGCACUUGAACCCCACUUUUACUGCAGACCAAGUCAUUGACUCAGGUAUUGGUGGUGCUUUUGGAAGGGGGGCGAGGAAUGGGGAAGUGGAGGAGGGCAACGGGAGGGGUAUAUUUAUUUUAACAUCUUCAAUAAACCCAUCGGUAUUUGAGGAAGCUUCCACGUCAGACUUUGGGGACCAAAACCUUAAUUAUACAAUAUAAUUGUUGUUAAUGGAACGUGUACAUUUCAACCCAGCAAGAUUGGUGGUGUUUAAUGCCAGCAUGACAUAUUUCCCAAAUUGUGGUCUUUAUUUGUAUAAAUAGGAAAGAAGCAAAAAUUGCAUCAGCUCUCUGCAUAAUGAAGAGGGAGGGAAGUGCAGCCUGUGCUGUGGUGGCCAGAUGCUCUUUUAUCUCUUUUCAAAUCAACAUGCAGAGCUGGUGGCCCUCAAACAGAAAGCAUCUUUCCCAAGGGAUGGCAGAACUGUACGUUUGGAAUGAUAACAUUCCAUAAAUAAAUAAAAAAGAUUAUUAAGAACGCUGUGUAAAUCUCCUAGUCAAACACCCCUUCAAGCAACCAUCAUCAGUAAUUCAGUUUGGUCCCUUAAUCCCACUGUAUACAAAUACACAGCAUAAAUACAGUAUUUAACAAGCACCAGAGAGAAAGCAGCACUCUUGCAAUAAAGACUCAUUUAGGAAGAAUGAACAUGCCUUGCCCCCAGUCCUGCUGGCCGCCCCCAGGAUUCAGUUCUUGAUUUGACUCUCCCACCUGGAUGAGAUGUCCAGCUCACAUGACUGAAUCCCUGGCAUAACCCCCUAUUUAAAUAAAACCUAAAAAUAUUAACUUUGGUCCCACAACCUUUUUGUUCCACAUCAGGGAAUUCACAGGGUAUCCAUUAGAAACCAUAUCACAUUUACAAGGCUCCACGGACUUCCUUAAGCCUUGAUGCUCCAACGGGUUAUACAGGCUAAGAGGUGGGGAUGAGUGCAGAUCCGAAGUGGGUGGGUGAGGAUCUCCCAGCCUCUCAGCCCUGGCACGGGGACUUGCUUUUCUCCAGGCUAUCUGGUUCUCUCUGUUUAUUCUCUGCCUGCUUUCCUUGUGUCUCUCGUUGUUUCUCUCUAAAUCUCCAUCUUUCCCUCUCUGUCCCUCUCCCCCUCCCUCCUUUCCUCUCUGUCUUUGUAACUCUCCCUCAAUUUUACUCAUUUUAGUGGUUCACUCUUUGGAUCUAGGACCUUGGUCAGCAUGAGCAUUGCACUCACAGAGAGGGUGACACGUUUCCUGAUGCCUGAAAGAGAGAAAUAAGAUGGCCCAGGAGACUCCAGGGCACUCUGCCCACUAAGCAUCUUUUUGGUCCUCCCCCUGCCAGAUUGAAAGAUGACAGACUGAGGACAAGCCCUAAGGGGACAGAGAGUCUAAGGCUCCAUGUUCCAACUCUGCAAGCCCCACCUCAGCUCAACUCAACACCUUAGACCUUCAGCUCACAGUUCUCUACAGGACACUUGUGAAAACUUGGAAAAUAUUAAUUGCUUAACAGUCCGCUUGCAAGUUGAACAGGCAGAUAAGGAGGAAAAGCCUUUCUUCUUUGACAAGCUUUCCAUGAAACAUAACCCCAGGUUUGUUUCUUCACUUAUUUUUCCCUUUAAUAAAUGUGAUGGGGUAGUUUGGAGUGAGUCUGAGCAUUGUGGUUAAAUAGGAAAAAAUGCUGCUUCGGACCUCAAUUACAUUGCACAAAAGCUAUCCCAGAGGUCUGUCUCCCGCUCCCCUGUGCCUGAUGCUUCAGCAGCUGCUCAAGGAGAGACAAUUCCCUGAGGUGCCUCUGGCCCUGGUGCUGUCGAGCCAGUGCAGGGGAGGCCAGGAGACCCCACAGCUGGGUAAGGCUUCUCCCUUUGAGGCAGCCUCCAAGACUUAAAGGAAUUCUUGUUUACUACAAACUGGCUAUGAACUACAGCCCUUGAUGUUUUCUAUGCCUGGGCCUCUGUGUGUGAUUUCAGAAAGCCAUGUAAAAAAAAACAAGAGACCUUAGGUCAGAUAUGGUAAAUAGAGUAUACAUGUUUAUCCUUCUCCCGCCUAAAUCCUGAUUGAAAUGACAAUAAAAGAAUUAAAAAGAUGUAAACCCACAAGUCAGCAAGAACAGGAGAGGUAACAGCUGUAGGUAAGAAGUCAGAUUUGUGGAGCGGGGAAGGGAUGGGGAAAUGGUAAUUACCUCAGCAGAGGAGAAGAGGCUAUAAUGGAAGAACACACAAGUUCACCCACAGAACCCUUGACAGACUGGACAUCUGCACACCAUAGCUUCCGUGGAAGCUGGCAGGAGGCCUGGGCUUGGAGCAGAGAUACUGACUAAAAGUCUGUAUUUGUACACAGUAUGUAUCUGCUUCUUCCCUCACUCCACCCCAGCUCACCAAACACUAGCUCUUUCCCUCUGGCCUCUCCCAACCCAUUCCCUGCUCCAUCCUUUCCAGGCAGGUAAACAUGUCUUCUUUAGAGAACUUCAACCAGAGAAUCUUCAUGUUCUGGUAACAACAGGGUGUGAGGCUGAAAACAAGGCACUAGGUGGAAGUCUGUCUUCCAAGUGCCCUUUCUGUCUCUGCUUCCAGAACACGAGUGCCCAGAUGUAUACAUUCCAGGCAUGAAAAUGAAGGAUAAUUCUCCAAAAAGACUGACUGGCCCUUGGGACAAGAUCCACAGAGACUUCAUCUGAAACGUUCUUCAUCAAUCAAGUAAGCCCACUCAUCUAUUGAUAAUGCUUACUGAGGGGCAAGCCACCCCAUGCACAUAAAGUCUCCUCUUAGCUUUUUAGUGUACCACUUCUUAAUCAUAAAUAAACAUUUAAGGAUCACCAGACAUUUGUAGAAGACCUCAACUAUGAAAAAAGAGAACUUAACAAAUAAACUUUUUUUGGAAGGCUGAGAAGACAUAGAGACAAUAGAGGGAGCAGAAAAAUAAAUAACAAAAACAAACAACCCUAUAGAUAUUAUUGUCAUCUGAAAGUUUUGAGAAAGUAUUGCAUUCAUGAAACAAGAAUAAGAUGCAAUUAAAAAGUAUAAUCGGAGUGAAAAAAUGAAUUAGCCAAGAUAAAAAAUAUUCAAUAGAACACUUGGAAGAUAAGGUUGAGUAACUCUCCUUGAAAAGCCAAAGAAAAAGAUGAGAAUGAAGAGAAAGAAAAUUAGGGGACCAAGCCAAUGUAUCCAACAUCUGAAAUUCCAAGAAGGGAAAGUGGAGAGAAUUAUGGGGUGGAAAUAAUCUAAUAAGUGGUUUAAUUUCCCAGAACUGAAAGACAUGAGUUUCCAGAGAAGGCCCAGCAUCAUGUAUUUAAAACAACAACCAAAAAAACUACCUAAGCAAAUAUUAUGAAAUUUCAGAAUAUCAGAAAUAGGACAGAUUGUAAGUUGACAGAGAAGAAAACCUGUCACAAAGGAUAAGGAAUAAAAAUGGCAUCAUGCCUCUUACUAGCAACACUGAGGCCAGACAACAACAUAACAAUUGAUAUUCUGAGAAAAAAAGCAUGUUCAGUCUACAUCUAUACCAAGACACACUCUUAAUCAAGUAUGAGGGUAAAACAAUGAACUUUCAGAUAAACACAGACUAAGGUAAUAUGCCUCUUAUGCACCCUUUCUCAAGACUAACUGGAGUCAGUGUUUCCCUAAAAUGUUUAAUCAGCUAACAAGGUGCUAUGAUGUGGAUAUUUGACCCUCCAAAUAUCAUGUUGAAAAUUGAUCCCCAUUGGUAGAGGUAGGGCCUGGUGGGAGGUAUGGGUUGUGGAGGUGGAUCCCUCAUGAAUGGCUUGGUGCCAUUCUCGCAGGAAUGAGUGAGUUCUCACUCUUAGUUCUCAUGAAAAUUCGUUGUUGAAAAGAACCUGGCACCUACUCCCCAUUGCUCUUUCUUCCCUUCGCCAUGUGAUGCCUGCUGCCCUUCAUCUUCCACCAUGACUGGAAGCUUCCUGAGGUCCCCACCAGAAGCAG
This 3956-nucleotide long non-coding RNA is filed under the name Homo sapiens (human). Its description in RNAcentral is "HSALNT0393434". Lineage: Eukaryota; Metazoa; Chordata; Mammalia; Primates; Hominidae. The record is from RNAcentral.